GGAAUAUUGGGCAAUGGGCGCAAGCCUGACCCAGCCAUGCCGCGUGAGUGACGAAGGCCUUAGGGUUGUAAAGCUCUUUUGGCGGGGACGAUGAUGACGGUACCCGCAGAAUAAGCCCCGGCUAACUUCGUGCCAGCAGCCGCGGUAAUACGAAGGGGGCAAGCGUUGUUCGGAAUUACUGGGCGUAAAGGGCGCGUAGGCGGCUUACCAAGUCAGGCGUGAAAUUCCCGGGCUCAACCUGGGGGCUGCGCUUGAUACUGGUAGGCUUGAAUACGGGAGAGGAUAGUGGAAUUCCCAGUGUAGAGGUGAAAUUCGUAGAUAUUGGGAAGAACACCGGUGGCGAAGGCGGCUAUCUGGCCCGUUAUUGACGCUGAGGCGCGAAAGCGUGGGGAGCAA
RNAcentral lists this ribosomal RNA (396 nucleotides) under uncultured bacterium. Its description in RNAcentral is "bacterial SSU rRNA". It matches the Rfam family "Bacterial small subunit ribosomal RNA", at positions 358 to 771 of the family's 1533-position model. The record is from RNAcentral.